Molecule: non-coding RNA, 263 nt
Filed under: Legionella worsleiensis
Lineage: Bacteria; Pseudomonadati; Pseudomonadota; Gammaproteobacteria; Legionellales; Legionellaceae
Description: Legionella RNA 17
Rfam family: Legionella RNA 17
Source: Rfam by way of RNAcentral
GUAAAUGCAGUUAAUGGCAGCAUUAACGUGAGUGCAAAAAAUAAUGCUAUCGUACUGGGAAGAACUUUUUUGAUAACCAUAGCGAUCUCCUGGGAUGCAAGGCCAUAAAAUCAGCCGCCUUCUUUUGUUUUUAUUAAAUGUUGAAAUGCAAUUUAAAUGCCAGGCGUGAAACCUAGGACAACCAGUCAAGCGGGGGCACCGCUUUUCCUCUUAGUCUUAUUUCAAAGUAUAGACCGUUUUGUUUAAUUCCACCGCUAUGCCCC